Molecule: ribosomal RNA, 254 nt
Filed under: uncultured bacterium
Lineage: Bacteria
Description: partial 16S ribosomal RNA
Rfam family: Bacterial small subunit ribosomal RNA
Source: RNAcentral
UACAGAGGUCUCAAGCGUUGUUCGGAUUCAUUGGGCGUAAAGGGCGCGUAGGCGGCCCGCUAAGUCGAACGUGAAAUCCCCGGGCUCAACCCGGGAACUGCGUCCGAUACUGGCAGGCUUAAAUCCGGGAGAGGGAUGCGGAAUUCCAGGUGUAGCGGUGAAAUGCGUAGAUAUCAAGAGGAACACCUGAGGUGAAGACGGGUUGCUGGGCUGAUACUGACGCUGAGGAGCGAAAGCCCAGGGGAGCGAACGGG